AAUGUAUGUACAUGUAAAUUUGUCGUUUUAGUUUUCACUUUAUUUGUACACAUUUGUUAAUGUAGAACAACUGACAUUGAAGCGCAAAAAAUUUGAUGUUUCUGGUUGCUACAACUCAGAGGCAAAAUGAAAUGAAAACAAUUUGGCUGUGGAUGGAAAUGAAGUUUUUAAUAUGUUAAAAACUAUUUCUGCACAAUUAGAAGUAUUGACGACAAGAGUAUUCAAUAUGGAGAAAAAGAUGGACAGCUAUAUGAAAGAAAAUGUAAGUUUAUAUUGUUCUAUAAGUAUUCAUCAAUAUAGAGAACGUAUUGUUUUGUUAUUGUAUCCUCUAACUGCAUACAUACAUAAAAGACAAUUCAUAAAAGCGAAGAAAUGGCCCAACAAAAAACUGUGCGCGAAUGUAAGGUUUUAAUUAGAAAUUCACCAUUCAGUAUGCCGACUGACUGGUGAAGAAAUAGAUAGUAUGCAAACCGAAGUUGCCUCCACGCUACCAAUAACAACGAUAGCUGCAGCAUUGGAAAUGGACGAGAAACUGAAAUGCGAGGAAUUUGCUACUGCAACGAAACAAUUUAUUUUAAAAACAAAGGGAAAUUCAGAUAAUUUACAUGAUGUGCUGAGACAUAUAUACACUGACGAAUUUUUGUUUUUGUGUAACUGGGACGGUAGAGGAGGGAAACAACCCCUAUCGAAAUUUCUACUG
Bactrocera dorsalis (oriental fruit fly) is the source of this 700-nucleotide long non-coding RNA. RefSeq lists it as uncharacterized. Lineage: Eukaryota; Metazoa; Arthropoda; Insecta; Diptera; Tephritidae. The record is from RefSeq and is a predicted model, not a curated record. The transcript is spliced from 3 exons.